GGUGUUUACUGUCGAACUGAACACUCUACCGUUUACUGUCUGGUGGUGCUCUUCACCGAGUGUCACCAGUGGUCGGUACGUUUACUUUGAAAAAAUUAGAGUGCUCAAAGCGGUUUUUACACGACCGAAUACUGUUGCAUGGAAUAAUGAAAUAGGACUUUGGUUCUAUUUUGUUGGUCUUCGGAACCAAGGUAAUGAUUAAGAGGGACAGACGGGGGCAUUAGUAUUGCGACGCUAGAGGUGAAAUUCUUGGACCGUCGCAAGACUAACUAAAGCGAAAGCAUUUGCCAAGAAUGUUUUCAUUAAUCAAGAGCGAAGGUUAGAGGUUCGAAGGCGAUCAGAUACCGCCCUAGUUCUAACCAUAAACGAUGCCAACCAGCAAUCAGCCUGUGUUCUCUUGAUGACACGGCUGGCGGCUUCCGGGAAACCAAAGUCUUUCGGUUCCAGGGGAAGUAUGGUUGCAAAGCUGAAACUUAAAGGAAUUGACGGAAGGGCACCACCAGGAGUGGAGCCUGCGGCUUAAUUUGACUCAACACGGGGAAACUCACCCGGCCCGGACACUGUGAGGAUUGACAGGUUGAAGCCCUUUCUUGAUUCAGUGGGUGGUGGUGCAUGGCCGUUCUUAGUUGGUGGAGUGAUUUGUCUGGUUAAUUCCGAUAACGAACGAGACUCUAGCCUACUAAUUAGACCGUGGCGUCCUCGUGCCGCCACGGCGCUUCCUAGAGGGACAGACGG
RNAcentral lists this ribosomal RNA (735 nucleotides) under uncultured eukaryote. RNAcentral describes it as "SSU rRNA". It matches the Rfam family "Eukaryotic small subunit ribosomal RNA", at positions 671 to 1426 of the family's 1831-position model. The record is from RNAcentral.